RNAcentral lists this ribosomal RNA (254 nucleotides) under uncultured bacterium. Its description in RNAcentral is "partial 16S ribosomal RNA". It matches the Rfam family "Bacterial small subunit ribosomal RNA", at positions 524 to 776 of the family's 1533-position model. The record is from RNAcentral.
CACGUAGGGGGCGAGCGUUGUCCGGAUUUAUUGGGCGUAAAGAGCUCGUAGGCGGCUCAGUAAGUCAGGUGUGAAAACUCCAGGCUCAACCUGGAGACGCCACCUGAUACUGCUGUGGCUAGAGUCCGGUAGGGGAGCAUGGAAUUCCUGGUGUAGCGGUGAAAUGCGCAGAUAUCAGGAGGAACACCAGUGGCGAAGGCGGCUCACUGGCUCAUUUCUGACGCUCAGGCGCGACAGCGUGGGGAUCAAACAGG